Molecule: long non-coding RNA, 1081 nt
Filed under: Pogona vitticeps (central bearded dragon)
Lineage: Eukaryota; Metazoa; Chordata; Lepidosauria; Squamata; Agamidae
Description: lncRNA (ENSPVIG00000006316.1)
Source: RNAcentral
AUGUCGGCUCGCAAGCUGCAAGGUAACCAGAAGGGGAAACAGCGAGCCAGGAAGCGCCCAGUGCCCGAGCUAUCCCCUCCUCAGUCUUCAUCAGAUGAGGAGGCAUGGCCAGUAUGGCAGAAGUUGCAGCAGCAGGUGGCGGCCCUGGAGAGGGCACGGCUAGCACGGGCACCCCCUGCCAGGGGAGGGGAGCAGCCCCGCAGGUCCACCCGGGAUGCCAAAGGGCACUGCAGGGCAAAGCUUUGGGCCAUAGUGCAGGACAUUAAGAGCAAAGUUGCCAUUUUAGAGGCGGAGCUACAAUCAGACGAAACCAGCGAUGAUACAGUGGCACCACCAGAACGUAGUGGGAAGUCCAAGGUGCACACCACGUCAGAAUCAGGUGCAUCAUUGGCAAUAACGGGGAGCAGGAGCAAAGCCUUGGAGGAGACCAACCGGGUCAAGACUGUGGCCCCGCCGGUACCAGAUGCAACUGUUCAGAGAACUAGACCCGUGGGCCAGCGAGGUGCCGGAGAUCCUUCCCCAAGAGGUUUGGUCAAUUGGCGCGAAGAAGCGGAGAGGGCGAUAAACAUGGCCCUUGAACCAAGGACAAGGAGUGAGUACUCAGAAGUGAGUAGAGAAUUUCAAAAAUUCAGAGAGUCAGUGGGGUUGGAGCAGAGUUGGCCCAUCCCAGUCGACCAUUUGCAACAGUUUAUCGUCAGCCUGCACAGACAGGGUUUGGCCCCGGGAACGAUCCAAGACAAGCUGUCAGCGUUGGCUUUUCAGGCCAAAGCCAGGGGCCUCCCAGAAUUUUCUGAUGAUUUUCAAAUAAGAAAGAUGAUUGAGGGCUUGGCCAAAGAAAGGGACAGGGCCAAAGACUCGAGAGCACCCAUAUCGCCCGAGCUGUUGAAGGGUACAAUGGGGUCUGGACCUACGGAAUUAAUCCGUAUUGGAACAGGGUUCGUAGGUCGAAAAGUCCGCAGGUCGAAAAUGCAUUCCCCAUAGUAAGGCAUUGAAAACCAUUUAAUCCGUAACCUGCCCAAGAAACUCCCCCCCCACACAAAAUUAGAAUAAAUUUUAAAAAAUAAAACCUUUCCUUUCUGAA